This 255-nucleotide ribosomal RNA is filed under the name uncultured bacterium. Its description in RNAcentral is "partial 16S ribosomal RNA". It matches the Rfam family "Bacterial small subunit ribosomal RNA", at positions 524 to 777 of the family's 1533-position model. The record is from RNAcentral.
UACGUAGGGGGCGAGCGUUGUCCGGAUUCAUUGGGCGUAAAGCGCGCGUAGGCGGCUCCGCAAGUCGGCCGUGAAAUCUCCGGGCUCAACUCGGAGGGGUCGGGCGAGACUGCGGGGCUCGAGGUGGGCAGAGGGCAGUGGAAUUCCGGGUGUAGUGGUGGAAUGCGUAGAGAUCCGGAGGAACACCAGUGGCGAAGGCGGCUGCCUGGGCCUGGCCUGACGCUGAGGCGCGAAAGCGGUGGGGAGCGAGUCCGG